UAGAGUUUGAUCCUGGCUCAGAUUGAACGCUGGCGGCAGGCCUAACACAUGCAAGUCGAACGGUAGCACAGAGAGCUUGCUCUCGUGUGACGAGUGGCGGACGGGUGAGUAAUGUCUGGGAAACUGCCUGAUGGAGGGGGAUAACUACUGGAAACGGUAGCUAAUACCGCAUAACGUCGCAAGACCAAAGAGGGGGACCUUCGGGCCUCUUGCCAUCAGAUGUGCCCAGAUGGGAUUAGCUAGUAGGUGGGGUAACGGCUCACCUAGGCGACGAUCCCUAGCUGGUCUGAGAGGAUGACCAGCCACACUGGAACUGAGACACGGUCCAGACUCCUACGGGAGGCAGCAGUGGGGAAUAUUGCACAAUGGGCGCAAGCCUGAUGCAGCCAUGCCGCGUGUAUGAAGAAGGCCUUCGGGUUGUAAAGUACUUUCAGCGGGGAGGAAGGCGAUAAGGUUAAUAACCUUGUCGAUUGACGUUACCCGCAGAAGAAGCACCGGCUAACUCCGUGCCAGCAGCCGCGGUAAUACGGAGGGUGCAAGCGUUAAUCGGAAUUACUGGGCGUAAAGCGCACGCAGGCGGUCUGUCAAGUCGGAUGUGAAAUCCCCGGGCUCAACCUGGGAACUGCAUUCGAAACUGGCAGGCUAGAGUCUUGUAGAGGGGGGUAGAAUUCCAGGUGUAGCGGGAAAUGCGUAGAGAUCGGAGGAAUACCGGUGGCGAAGGCGGCCCCCGGACAAAGCACGACGAUUCAGGUGCGAAAGCGGAGCCCCCUA
This 771-nucleotide ribosomal RNA is filed under the name Enterobacter cancerogenus. Its description in RNAcentral is "bacterial SSU rRNA". It matches the Rfam family "Bacterial small subunit ribosomal RNA", at positions 1 to 771 of the family's 1533-position model. The record is from RNAcentral. Lineage: Bacteria; Pseudomonadati; Pseudomonadota; Gammaproteobacteria; Enterobacterales; Enterobacteriaceae.